UUUUUUUUUUUUUUUUUGCUAUUUUGCUAUAAACACUCCCUUGGGCCUGAUUUUCAAAUUUGUGUUUACACAGCUAGGAGUAGCUGCUAAGUCUUUCGAGUCUGUCACAGAGGGGUCUUUGGCCUUUCUGUUGCCGUGUGGUCAGAAACUUGCCAUAUAGAAGCCAGCUCCUCGCCACACCACCGCCUGCUUGUUUGAGGGCCAGCAAGCAUUCUACCACAGAGAGGCUUUUGUGGCUUUGAGGCCUCGUAUAAUCCCUAAUAGCAGAACCAUGCAGACUUUCCACUACUUUGCUGCUUCUCGGGCCCCGAGGUUGUUGGGCAGGUCUGCAGGGUUUCUGCUGCAAAGUCUGCCUGCAACUCAAGGGCUGCUCUGCCAUCCUUGGCCUGCUGCUCUCCCCAGGUGUCUAGAGCCUUGGGCAGUGCUUUCGGACAGCCAGUUCCACAAAGGACCCCGAGAUCCAGGUAAACCUACAGCAGCCCGUGAUCCCGGGCCAAGGAGUGGCGUUCAUCUCUGCAGCUGAUCUCCUGUCACCUUCUGGGACGGAGGACCACAGUCCAAUUUCUCAAGGACUCAGGUGCCUCCACUGGGGCCAGCUUAUGCACUAUCCGGUGGCCAGGGCUUUUAUGGGGGAGUUUCUUGGAGGACGUGCCCCCACAUUGCAUGCUGUGGCACAUCUGGAUGACCGUCCAAGGCAGUCACACCAAAGCCAGCUGCGUUUUAGGGCUGCCCUCCCCUGCUGUGACAGAUUGCAUCACCUCCGUGGUGGCACCAGCCUGGCCUCCCCACGCUCCGGCUGUCAGGUUGCAGGUGCCCACCUGGCUCUCUUCUGGAAGGAUGGUUUAAUGCGAGCUAAAGCUGGGUUCUCAGCCCUGAAGAUCUUGGGUGGGACUGAGAACCUGGCCCAAGUAUGGUCGACUUCUCACAGGAAGCCCUGGUUUCACCCUUAGCCAACCGCAACUUUUGUCAAUACGUUCUCAUGCCUCCAAAAUGAGACCCAGAGCAGUGUGUACGAACAGCCUGUAGAGGACGUGGAUUGCACUGGGAAUUUAACGAGGAAGAAGAGGAAAAAACGGGCUUACUUUACACACUCGGUAGCAAACAACACAACUCUCUGUCCAACACUUUGGUUUUUCACACCUUCUGCCAAUUAAUUCCCUCCUCGGCCAACAGCAGCUUGGUCUCCCCACCCCAGCACCACAGUCUUCCCUCUGGGCCCCCCUUUUUCACAUCUUUAUGCUAUGGUUGUUUGAUGGUGUGUUCCAUAAAGGCCAGAGAGGUCAAAUUAAUAAGUAGUGCUGGUUAAAUCGUCUGUAAGUAGUUUUAUUAAAGCCAUAGGUGAAUUCUCUUUUGCUCCCUCUCCCCACACUGGUAGCGGGUUUCUUCUGAGUGCCUUUUCCAUUUGUUCAUGUGGUUGCUUUUGAGUUCCCGUCAUGGCGCAGUGGUUAACAAAUCUGACUAGGAACCACGAGGUUGCGGGUUCGAUCCCUCUCCUUGCUCAGUGGGUUGACGAUCCGGCGUUGCCGUGAGCUGUGGUGUAGGUUGCAGAUGCGGCUCGGAUCCCGCAUUGCUGUGGCUCUGGCAUAGGCCGGUGGCUGCAGCUCCGAUUUGAUCCCUAGCCUGGGAACCUCCAUAUGC
RNAcentral lists this long non-coding RNA (1638 nucleotides) under Sus scrofa (pig). RNAcentral describes it as "lncRNA (ENSSSCG00000058570.1)". The record is from RNAcentral. Lineage: Eukaryota; Metazoa; Chordata; Mammalia; Artiodactyla; Suidae.